CAUGCAGUCGAACGCUUCUUUUUCCACCGGAGCUUGCUCCACCGGAAAAAGAGGAGUGGCGAACGGGUGAGUAACACGUGGGUAACCUGCCCAUCAGAAGGGGAUAACACUUGGAAACAGGUGCUAAUACCGUAUAACAAUCAAAACCGCAUGGUUUUGAUUUGAAAGGCGCUUUCGGGUGUCGCUGAUGGAUGGACCCGCGGUGCAUUAGCUAGUUGGUGAGGUAACGGCUCACCAAGGCCACGAUGCAUAGCCGACCUGAGAGGGUGAUCGGCCACAUUGGGACUGAGACACGGCCCAAACUCCUACGGGAGGCAGCAGUAGGGAAUCUUCGGCAAUGGACGAAAGUCUGACCGAGCAACGCCGCGUGAGUGAAGAAGGUUUUCGGAUCGUAAAACUCUGUUGUUAGAGAAGAACAAGGAUGAGAGUAACUGUUCAUCCCUUGACGGUAUCUAACCAGAAAGCCACGGCUAACUACGUGCCAGCAGCCGCGGUAAUACGUAGGUGGCAAGCGUUGUCCGGAUUUAUUGGGCGUAAAGCGAGCGCAGGCGGUUUCUUAAGUCUGAUGUGAAAGCCCCCGGCUCAACCGGGGAGGGUCAUUGGAAACUGGGAGACUUGAGUGCAGAAGAGGAGAGUGGAAUUCCAUGUGUAGCGGUGAAAUGCGUAGAUAUAUGGAGGAACACCAGUGGCGAAGGCGGCUCUCUGGUCUGUAACUGACGCUGAGGCUCGAAAGCGUGGGGAGCAAACAGGAUU
RNAcentral lists this ribosomal RNA (753 nucleotides) under bacterium LGM52. RNAcentral's name for it is "bacterial SSU rRNA". It matches the Rfam family "Bacterial small subunit ribosomal RNA", at positions 54 to 779 of the family's 1533-position model. The record is from RNAcentral.